Molecule: long non-coding RNA, 380 nt
Organism: Phyllostomus discolor (pale spear-nosed bat)
Lineage: Eukaryota; Metazoa; Chordata; Mammalia; Chiroptera; Phyllostomidae
Exons: 2
Source: RefSeq, a predicted model, not a curated record
GGAAUACAACCGGGCCAAAUCCUUGAUUCUGAUGCUGUGAAGCCAUAAGUGGAGAACUUGGCUGGGCCACUAUGCCUGAACUUCUGACUCACUGAAACUGUGAGACAAUAAAUGAGUUUUGUUGCUAAAUUUGUUACGGUAAUAAUCAAAAGUUCAAACAACAUGCUUUCUGUCUUUGUCAUAUAAGGCAUUCUAUAUUUGUUAUAUCAGUUACAAUAUACAAUAACAACAACAAAAUAUACAAAACCUUGGUGCCUAAAACAACAUAGGGAUGCAUCCAGAAUAAAGAACUUUUUAAAAAAUUUUAAUCAUUGUUCAAAAAGGCAAAAUAUUUAAGCAAACAGUUCAUAAAGACAGUAUGCAAAUGUCCAAUAAGAACA